Molecule: ribosomal RNA, 495 nt
Filed under: uncultured bacterium
Lineage: Bacteria
Description: partial 16S ribosomal RNA
Rfam family: Bacterial small subunit ribosomal RNA
Source: RNAcentral
GACGAACGCUGGCGGCGUGCCUAAUACAUGCAAGUAGAACGCUGAAGGAGGAGCUUGCUUCUCUGGAUGAGUUGCGAACGGGUGAGUAACGCGUAGGUAACCUGCCUGGUAGCGGGGGAUAACUAUUGGAAACGAUAGCUAAUACCGCAUAAGAGUAGAUGUUGCAUGACAUUUGCUUAAAAGGUGCAAUUGCAUCACUACCAGAUGGACCUGCGUUGUAUUAGCUAGUUGGUGAGGUAACGGCUCACCAAGGCGACGAUACAUAGCCGACCUGAGAGGGUGAUCAGCCACACUGGGACUGAGACCCGGCCCAGUCGCCUACGGGAGGCAGCAGGAGGGAAUCUUCGGCAAUGGACGGAAGUCUGAGCGAGCAACGCCGCGGGAGUGAAGAAGGUUGUCGGAUCGUAAAGCUCUGUUGUAAGAGAAGAACGAGUGUGAGAGUGGAAAGUUCACACUGUGACGGUAGCUGACCAGAAAGGGACGGCUAACUACGUG